RNAcentral lists this ribosomal RNA (429 nucleotides) under Chloroflexota bacterium. RNAcentral describes it as "Chloroflexi bacterium partial 16S ribosomal RNA". It matches the Rfam family "Bacterial small subunit ribosomal RNA", at positions 355 to 776 of the family's 1533-position model. Lineage: Bacteria; Bacillati; Chloroflexota. The record is from RNAcentral.
UGGGGAAUAUUGCACAAUGGGCGCAAGCCUGAUGCAGCCAUGCCGCGUGUGUGAAGAAGGCCUUCGGGUUGUAAAGCACUUUCAGCGGGGAGGAAGGCGAUAAGGUUAAUAACCUCAUCGAUUGACGUUACCCGCAGAAGAAGCACCGGCUAACUCCGUGCCAGCAGCCGCGGUAAUACGGAGGGUGCAAGCGUUAAUCGGAAUUACUGGGCGUAAAGCGCACGCAGGCGGUCUGUCAAGUCGGAUGUGAAAUCCCCGGGCUCAACCUGGGAACUGCAUUCGAAACUGGCAGGCUAGAGUCUUGUAGAGGGGGGUAGAAUUCCAGGUGUAGCGGUGAUAUGCGUAGAGAGCUGGAGGAAUACCGGGGGCGAAGGCGGCCCCCUGGACAAAAACUGAAGCUCAGGUGCGAAAGCGUGGGGAGCAAACAGG